This 87-nucleotide transfer RNA is filed under the name Symploca sp. SIO1C4. RNAcentral describes it as "tRNA-Ser". It matches the Rfam family "tRNA". Rfam says of the family: Transfer RNA (tRNA) molecules are approximately 80 nucleotides in length. Their secondary structure includes four short double-helical elements and three loops (D, anti-codon, and T loops). The record is from RNAcentral. Lineage: Bacteria; Bacillati; Cyanobacteriota; Cyanophyceae; Coleofasciculales; Coleofasciculaceae. RNAcentral also lists the same sequence under 4 other names.
GGAGAGGUGUCCGAGUGGUUUAAGGUGGUAGACUCGAAAUCUGCUGAGGGGUCACACCCUCCGGGGGUUCGAAUCCCCCCCUCUCCG